RNAcentral lists this unclassified non-coding RNA (352 nucleotides) under soil metagenome. RNAcentral's name for it is "partial contains 5.8S ribosomal RNA, internal transcribed spacer 2, and large subunit ribosomal RNA". The stretch from base 1 to 120 matches the Rfam family "5.8S ribosomal RNA", at positions 35 to 154 of the family's 154-position model. The record is from RNAcentral.
GAUGAAGAACGUAGCGAAAUGCGAUAAGUAAUGUGAAUUGCAGAAUUCAGUGAAUCAUCGAAUCUUUGAACGCACAUUGCGCCCGCCAGUAUUCUGGCGGGCAUGCCUGUUCGAGCGUCAUUACAACCCUCAGGCCCCCGGGCCUGGCGUUGGGGAUCGGCGGAGCCCCCCGUGGGCACACGCCGUCCCCCAAAUGCAGUGGCGGUCCCGCCGCAGCUUCCAUCGCGUAGUAGCUAACACCUCGCGACUGGAGAGCGGCGCGGCCACGCCGUAAAACACCCAACUCUUCUGAAGUUGACCUCGAAUCACGUAGGAAUACCCGCUGAACUUAAGCAUAUCAAUAAGCGGAGGA